RNAcentral lists this ribosomal RNA (448 nucleotides) under uncultured bacterium. RNAcentral's name for it is "bacterial SSU rRNA". It matches the Rfam family "Bacterial small subunit ribosomal RNA", at positions 355 to 825 of the family's 1533-position model. The record is from RNAcentral.
UGAGGAAUAUUGCACAAUGGGCGCAAGCCUGAUGCAGCGACGCCGCGUGGGUGAUGAAGGCUUUCGGGUCGUAAAACCCUUUUCUGUGUGACGAGCAAGGACGGUAGCACAGGAAUAAGCCUCGGCUAACUACGUGCCAGCAGCCGCGGUAAAACGUAGGAGGCGAGCGUUAUCCGGAGUUACUGGGCGUAAAGCGCGUGUAGGUGGUUGGAUACGUCUGCUGUGAAAUGUCCCGGCUUAACCGGGAGGGUGCGGCAGAUACGGUCUGACUUGAGGGUGACAGAGGAGCGUAGAAUUCCGGGUGUAGUGGUGAAAUGCGUAGAGAUCCGGAGGAAUACCAGUGGCGCAAGCGGCGCUCUGGGUCACAACUGACACUGAGACGCGAAGGCAUGGGGAGCGAACGGGAUUAGAUACCCGCGUAGUCCCUGAGCGGGCUGGCAAGGCGCAU